CAUUACACUAACAUUGUUGGAUUUUUCCUGGUUGUUUUGCUUAAAAAAAAAAAAGCCACGGGCUUCCUACGUAAGAAGAGCUGAGGUAUUGCCAUAUGCUUUUCAGAGACUUACCUUAAGCUGACUUUUUAUAACAAGCACACCAAUUUUCCUUAGACUGUAUGUUUAUUUGGGGUGGCUGUCGGCGAAAUUGUUAGGGAUGGGGAGAGGGUGCUUAAAAUCCUACCAAAGCCCCUCUUUUAGCCUAGUGACUAAACUGCCAACACGUAAAAAACAAAAAACAAACCUAAAUGUCUAGACAAGGGAGAGAAAGUGCCAAAUCUAACAAUUUUUUUUUUCAAACCAGCUUCCCUUGGUGUCCACAGGGUGCAAGCACGUGAUGAGAGUACAGAGCACCAGCGACAACAGCCUGAGAUGACAGACAGAUAAUGGGAUGUCAGCCCUAGAUGGAAAUGUCACAUCAGCCCUUUCCCAGGUGGCCUCCGGGGUGGUAGACUGCAGGAGAUCGCGUCCCUCCUCUUAGAUGGCUUAAAGGCAGGCAGGCAACAGACUCUAGCGCAAACGUCUGGCUGCAGAUAAAACGCGAUUAGCUCACCUGCGCCGCCCUUUCUUCCGAAGCCGGAGGGCUGGGCUCUGCGGCGGGAGGCGUGUUGGCUGUCGCAGAGCCCUCUGGGAGUUGUAGUCCGCGGCGGCGGGAGGUUUGACUGCGGCGGCCGGCUUAGCGCUCUCAGAACUGCAUCCCCCGCUGGCCCCCGCGGCCUAGGCCGUUGCCUUUUCCUGUUCAGGGGACAAGAACCCUUGCUGCAGCAAGUUGAGAAGUUUGGGGGAGGGGUGUCCUCCUUCCUGCCGAGCUCUCUGAGAUUAAGGGCUCGGCCUGCUCAGGUAGAGGACGUUCCGGGCCUUGCAAACUCAUCUCCCGGGAGGGAGCGGAGGGAAAGGGGGGACAAGGCUGCUAAGGCUGAGCUUCCGACGGAGUCGGCUGUUACCCGGGGAAGUUCUUCAGGGAAACGCCUCGGAACUGUGGCUUCUUGCGGAAGCGGUGAGGCCAAAGCCGGGGCCCGCGGAGACCGGUCCGGAGAGGCAGCGCGCGUUCCUAGAGGUCUCGGGACUGACUUCUUCAGUGCUUAG
This 1128-nucleotide long non-coding RNA is filed under the name Delphinapterus leucas (beluga whale). RNAcentral describes it as "lncRNA (ENSDLEG00000009274.1)". Lineage: Eukaryota; Metazoa; Chordata; Mammalia; Artiodactyla; Monodontidae. The record is from RNAcentral.